CAUCAAAAUACAGAUAUUAUUUACUGGAUUUAUUGGGUAUUUUAGCGGUUAACAGCUAGCUACAGAAGAGAGGGGUUUUGUUCUCUAGCUAGAGCUAGCUAGCUAGUUAUCGAAGCUCACAGUUUUAAUUACCGUUACUGUAUAGUUUGAAAACAUGCUUUUAGUCGCCCGGCGAACUAAGGGCGGGCGGUGUUCCCCGUACUGUUACUGUGUCUUGAGGGCGAAAGGAAAGCCCCGCCCAACUGGUGUGCCCUCGUGUGGCAAACGAGGCGUUAUGUUCUCAACGAUGACGACAGCAUCCAAGCUUGUUGGAAUAUUCUAGCAAGUUUUCGCACCUUUUUCAAGAGUUUUAUGAUUUGUAUUGAAUAUAUAAACUGUUUGUCUUAACUUUUGAAAAAUAUAUUUAUUUUUUAAGGAAUUUUGUCAUUUUUUGGUUGUUUUAUAUCGUGUAAGGCACACGUUGUACCCACAGUGUUAACAUAGUAUACAUAAUCAUAAUGGACUUCAGAAAUUAAAUUAAAACCAACAUUUAAGCCACUGAGGCUCUAUAAAUGAACAUAUCUUAUUUUUCUAUUUUUUUUUAUUUGUUAACAUUUUUAUUGUUAUAAAAUGAAUAGGAAACUGAGAUUUUUAGUGACUCCUACUACUGUAACAAUUAGAUUUAUUGGAUUAGCCAAUGGACAGAAUAGUGUACAUAAUCAUAAUGGAUUUCAAGGGGUCUUUGGCGUCGUUUGUACAGUGUUGACAUGUCUUUGACUGCUUAUAGCAAAUUAGUAGACUGUAUCCUGCAGCUAAAUACCCUUUUGAGGGCUUUUUUUUCUCCAUUGAUUUUAGUUUUUUAAAGUGAUGUGGAAAAAGAAAAUCCAUGCAACCCAUUCAGGUCUUAUAUUAAAAAGUGUGUCAUUCAUUGUUUCUAAAUAACGUUAGUAUUUGUAACACAAAAGAUGAUUUCUUGAACUGUAGGAGAAAAGAAACAGGCCUCUUUAGGUUAAAUUAUUAACUUUAUACCAAGUCAUAGAAAGUAUUUUAAAUUGAAAUCAACAUUUAAACCACUGAGGGUCUAUAAAUGAACAUAUCUUAAUUUCAUGGAUUUAAAGGAGCAUUUUGGUAUUUUUUUUUAAAUUUGUUAACAUUGUUAUUGUUAUAAAAGCAUCCAACAGCUUGUUGGAAUAUUCUAGCAAGUUGUUGUAUCUUUUUCAGGUGUUCAGCUCAUUCGGCUGAUAAGGCACACGUUGUGCACACAGUGUUAACAUAGUGUACAUAAUCAUAAUGGAUUUUCAAGGUUGUCUUUGUACAGUGUUGACAUGUCUAUGACUGCUUAUAACAAAUGAAUAGACUGUAUCCUGCAGCAGCUUUUUUUUUCUCCGUUGAUUUUAUUUUUUUUUAAAGUCUUGCAGGUUUUGAUGGGGAAAAAGAAUAGAAAUCCAUUCAGGUGUUAUAUUAAAAAGUGUGUAAUUCAUUGUUUCUGAAUAAAGUUAGUAUUUGUUAACUCAGUGUAUAACAAAAGAUUAUUUCUUGAACUGUAGGAGAAAAUAAAUAGGCCUCUUUAGGCUAAAUGAUUAACUUAAUACCAAGUCAUAGGAAGUAUUUUAAAUUGAAACCAACAUUUAAGCCACUGAGGCUCUAUAAAUGAGUAUUUUAGUAUUUUUUUUUUAUUUGUUAACAUUGUUAUUGUUAUAAAAUGAAUAGGAAACAUUAACUGAGAUUUUUGGUUACUCUUAAUACUGAAAUAAUUAGAUUUAUUGGAUUAGCCAAUGGACAGACCGAUAAUAGAUAAUGACUUUUAAAAUUAAAUUAACAUCAUUUUGUGUAUAAAAAAACACUGCUGAUUACAGAAUAAAAUGGUAAAGAGUGGCUUGUUUCUUUCUAUUUUUUCAGAUUAUAUCUGACCUUUGGUUUUUUUUCCCCGUAAUAAUUUAUUGGGAGUAACAACAGGUGUAUAGAAACGUACAAAUAGAGCACAAAUGUAAAGAAUUGUCCCUCCAUAUUUUGGUAUUUUUCCCCCAAAGCACCCUCCCACCCUACCCUCACCCACUGCAGAUGCAAAAAGGAUAAA
This is a long non-coding RNA of Sebastes umbrosus (honeycomb rockfish), 2056 nucleotides long. RefSeq lists it as uncharacterized. The record is from RefSeq and is a predicted model, not a curated record. NCBI's taxonomy places the organism in Eukaryota, Metazoa, Chordata, Actinopteri, Perciformes, Sebastidae. The transcript is spliced from 2 exons.